Long non-coding RNA from Macrobrachium nipponense, 1508 nucleotides. RefSeq lists it as uncharacterized. NCBI's taxonomy places the organism in Eukaryota, Metazoa, Arthropoda, Malacostraca, Decapoda, Palaemonidae. The transcript is spliced from 3 exons. The record is from RefSeq and is a predicted model, not a curated record.
AACUGUAAAAUGAGUUGUCAACUCUGUGUGACGGUCCGCAGUGUUUUGUCGUAAAUUCGUAACCUUUGUUGUGCCUAUUAUCAACGUGUUAUUCCUGUGUUAUUUUCACUUCCAGCGAUGCAGUAGGCUAGCCAUGUUAACAUUAAGUGAUGCAUUGUAGCAGAAUUUCCUGAAAGUUGCUCAUUGAAGAAAUGAGUACUACAAAAUGGGCUGGUAAAAUAGUGGUUGGAGUUGAAAUGGCUGUGAAGUGCUUGUAAAGUAUGUAAAUUAUGAUUUGUUUUGUAUUGAAUCAGUACUGACUAUAUAUUCAAACUUGCAGCUUAUGAGUGUUUGCUUCAUUAAAGCCACAGUGAGCAAGUGAUUAGUAUAUCAUGACUUGGAAAUUCUUUUGUAAAUCUUUACCAGAUUUUAAAUUCUUUUGAGGCUUCCUGUUUAAUGGAGAUAAAAAGCACAGGUUAUUAGUUGAAAAGUGAAGAAUUUAUGGUUUUUAAUAUUUUUUUCUUUCAGUACUACAUUGUAUAGAUUUAUGAGCAAUGUGAUGACCUUAAUCAUAACUUACGGAGUAAUUAGAUUGUUAUAAUAAAUAAAUAAUGCAAGUAUGACAAAUUAAAAAGUAGCAUACUUUUAUUAUGUAUGAUUAUUAUUACAUAAUAUACUAACUUAGCUACUGAGUACACUUAACACUCUGAGGACUCUCUUGAACCAUUUCUUUGAAAUUACAACUUUUUAAGAUUAAUUAGACAAGCAGAAAAAUGUGUUCAAAGUAUGUAUCAUAUGCACAUGUAAUGUAUGACCUUGGAAGCAGCUGUGCCCUAAUAACAGUACACAAAUGAAUAAUAAGUAGGUAAUUAUUAAAUUAUGUAAUUAGGUUAAUGGCAAAACGUUCAUCAAAUGAUAAAGUGUUACACAUUACUAUUAUUAGAUACGUAUCUUUAUUUUGAAUACUUGUGUGUGAGCUUCAUAAUAAAAUACUGUACUAUAUUCUCUGUAAAUAGGUGAAAUAUAAGUAUUUAACACUACGUAAUAAUACAUACUGUAGUAGAAUACUACAUGGUCUGUUAGUAUUUUGAUGAUAAUGUUACUAUAAUUAAGCCACUGAAACUCAGAUCUGAAGGUGAAAUUAAGGGAAGUGUACAGUGAGUAGAAGUUCUGCUAGUGUGUCUGGAUUAUGUUUUAAGUGCAUAAUUAUUACCUCCUCAAGGUUCAAACAUACUUCUUAUGCCUUUCCCAUUUUUCUUUAAGCCAGUGCUAGGUAAGGGCAUCAAGUUGUUUAGCAAGGAGUGGCCAUCUAAUAUAUUGACAUUAAUUUUCAUGUAUUAUUAGUUGUUCCACUUCUAGGUAGAAACAUCUAUACCACUGUAUGACAUUGUAGCCAUUUAUGUCAGUUAUACUAAUAUUACACCUUUAUUCUUAUAAGAAUAAUGCUUAAAAGAGCCCCUGUCUAGAAAUUUCUUCCAGUACCAAAGAUAAUGCAUUUUACAAAUAUUUAAGAUUUGCAAUGUAAUGUA